AUCAGGGCUGACUCCCGCUGUGUUCUGACAAACACUGGAACCGAAGGAGACGUUGAAAUCGUUUUCCAUAAAUUGUGGGUUCUUUACCACUAGUGCCACCUGGGAAGCCCGGUGAUGCAUGCUGCUGCUGCUGCCAAGUCACUUCAGUCGUGUCCGAUUCUGUGCAACCCCAUAGACGGCAGCCCAACAAGCUCCCUCGUCCCUGGGAUUCUCCAGUGUUCUUGCCUGGAGAAACCCAGGGACAGGGGAGCCUGAUGGGCUUCCGUCUAUGGGGUCGCAUAGAGUCGGCCACUACUGAAUCGACUUAGCAGCAGCAGCAGAAUGAAAAUUUAAAUAGGAAAAAAAAAAGGUCUUUAACAAUGCUUACUUUGUGAGUGCCUAAAGAUAACCCAGGGCUUCACUGGUGGCUCAGAUGGUAAAGAAUUUGCCUGCAAUGCAGGAUACCGGGGUUCAAAACCUAGUGGAGGUGAUGGAAUUCCAGUUGAGCUAUUUAAAAUCCUAAAACAUGAUGCUGUGAAAGUGCUGCACUCAGUAUGUCAGCAAAUUUAGAAAAUAGCAGUGACCACAGGACUGGAAAAGGUCAGUUUUCAUGCCAAUCCCAAAGAAACACAAUGCCAAAGAAUGCUCAACUACCGUUCUUUGCACUCAUUUCACAUGCUAAAAGGUUAUACUCAAAAUCCUUCAAGUUAGGAUUCAGCAGUAUAUGAAGUAAGAACUUUCAGAUGUACAAGUUAGCUUUAGAAAAGGCAGAGAAACGAGAUAUCAAAUUGCCAACAUCCACUGGAUCAGAGAAAGCAAGGAAAUUCCACAAAAACUUCUGCUUCACUGACUAGUGACAGCCUGAAAGCCUUUGACUGUGGAUCACAACAAAUUGCGGAAAAUUCCUAAAGAGAUGGGAAUACCAGACCACCUUAUCUGCCUCCUGAGAAGCCUGUAUGCUAGUUAAGAAGCAACAGUUAGAACCUUAUAUGGAACAACAGACUGGUUCAAAAUUGGGAAAGGAGUAAGACAAGGCUGUAUAUUGUCACCCUACUUAUUUAACUUAUAUGCAGAGUACAUCGUGCGAAAUGCUGUGCUGGGUGAAUCACAAACUGGAAUCAAGA
This is a long non-coding RNA of Bos taurus (domestic cattle), 1103 nucleotides long. Lineage: Eukaryota; Metazoa; Chordata; Mammalia; Artiodactyla; Bovidae. The record is from Ensembl.